CGAUUAUUUCCUACCAAAGGAUUUUAAAACACAAAUAGGAGAUAAAAAUGUAGAAACAAGAUUUUCAUUACUACACUUAAACAUCAGAAGCAUAUCAAAUAAGUUUGAUUCAUUCAACAAUUUGAUUGAUACUUUAAAUAUACCAUUCCAGGUAAUAGGACUAACUGAGACCUGGUUGAAUGACAACAAUAUGGAUUGUUAUACUUUAAAUGAACACGAGUAUUUUGGUUCAAACAGACCGAAUAAAAGAGGCGGGGGUGUAGGUUUAUAUAUUUCGAAACAAUUAAAAUUUAAAAGUCGGAAUGAUUUAGACAAAAACGUAGAAGAUAUAAUUGAAACCAAAUUUAUUGAAAUAAUAAAUG
Molecule: non-coding RNA, 362 nt
Organism: Paramuricea clavata
Lineage: Eukaryota; Metazoa; Cnidaria; Anthozoa; Malacalcyonacea; Plexauridae
Source: the annotation of a GenBank genome assembly